GUCUACAACCAUGAUACCCUGAACAAGCCCGAUCCUGUCUGAUCUCGGAAGGUAAGCAGGAUCAGGCCUGGUUAGGAGUUGGAUGGGAGACCACCUAGGAAGACCAGGUGCGGUAGGUG
This 119-nucleotide ribosomal RNA is filed under the name Pteropus alecto (black flying fox). The record is from RNAcentral. Lineage: Eukaryota; Metazoa; Chordata; Mammalia; Chiroptera; Pteropodidae.